RNAcentral lists this ribosomal RNA (822 nucleotides) under Teratosphaeria toledana. RNAcentral describes it as "eukaryotic LSU rRNA". It matches the Rfam family "Eukaryotic large subunit ribosomal RNA", at positions 71 to 925 of the family's 3401-position model. The record is from RNAcentral. Lineage: Eukaryota; Fungi; Ascomycota; Dothideomycetes; Mycosphaerellales; Teratosphaeriaceae.
GGGAUUGCCUCAGUAACGGCGAGUGAAGCGGCAACAGCUCAAAUUUGAAAUCUGGCGCACGCCCGAGUUGUAAUUUGGAGAGGAUGCUUCAGGGCAGCGGCCGGUCUAAGUUCCUUGGAACGGGACGUCAUAGAGGGUGAGAAUCCCGUAUGCGACCGGUUGGCACCCGUCACGUAGCUCCUUCGACGAGUCGAGUUGUUUGGGAAUGCAGCUCUAAAUGGGAGGUAAAUUUCUUCUAAAGCUAAAUACCGGCCAGAGACCGAUAGCGCACAAGUAGAGUGAUCGAAAGAUGAAAAGCACUUUGGAAAGAGAGUUAAAAAGCACGUGAAAUUGUUGAAAGGGAAGCGCAUGCCACCAGACUUGUCGGCGGUGUUCCGCCGGUCUUCUGACCGGUCUACUCGCCGCCGGCAGGCCAGCAUCAUCUGGGCGCGCCGGACAAAGGCACGGGGAAUGUGGCUCCUCGGAGUGUUAUAGCCCCGCGCACAAUACGGCGCCGCCCGGGUGAGGUCCGCGCUUCGGCUAGGAUGCUGGCGUAAUGGUGGUCUGCGGCCCGUCUUGAAACACGGACCAAGGAGUCUAACAUCUAUGCGAGUGUUCGGGUGUCAAACCCCUACGCGGAAUGAAAGUGAACGGAGGUGGGAAGCGUAAGCUGCACCAUCGACCGAUCCUGAUGUCUUCGGAUGGAUUUGAGUAAGAGCAUAGCUGUUGGGACCCGAAAGAUGGUGAACUAUGCCUGAAUAGGGUGAAGCCAGAGGAAACUCUGGUGGAGGCUCGCAGCGGUUCUGACGUGCAAAUCGAUCGUCAAAUUUGGGUAUAGGGGCG